RNAcentral lists this ribosomal RNA (450 nucleotides) under uncultured Glomeromycotina. RNAcentral describes it as "SSU rRNA". It matches the Rfam family "Eukaryotic small subunit ribosomal RNA", at positions 569 to 1024 of the family's 1831-position model. Lineage: Eukaryota; Fungi; Glomeromycota. The record is from RNAcentral.
AGCAGCCGCGGUAAUUCCAGCUCCAAUAGCGUAUAUUAAAGUUGCUGCAGUUAAAAAGCUCGUAGUUGAAUUUCGGGACCGAUAUAUCGGUCGUGCCUCGGUACGUACUGGUAUUUUCGGUUUCUCCCUUCUGACGAACCUUGAUGUCAUUAAUUUGGUGUCUUGGGGAAUCAGGACUGUUACUUUGAAAAAAUUAGAGUGUUUAAAGCAGGCUCACGCCUGAAUACAUUAGCAUGGAAUAAUGAAAUAGGACGUUUGAUUCUAUUUUGUUGGUUUCUAGGAUCGACGUAAUGAUUAAUAGGGAUAGUUGGGGGCAUUAGUAUUCAAUUGUCAGAGGUGAAAUUCUUGGAUUUAUUGAAGACUAACUACUGCGAAAGCAUUUGCCAAGGAUGUUUUCAUUAAUCAAGAACGAAAGUUAGGGGAUCGAAGACGAUCAGAUACCGUCGUAGU